CUCCGAAACAACAGAAAGCACUUGACAGGCUUGCUCUCCAAUGAGAAGCCCCGGAAAAGUGUCGCGCGGAGGCGGAGCCACGCGGUACAGCCACCUCUGCGCCUGCUCAAAGGCCCUGGACACUUGGAGUCUAGAUGGGGAAACUGACAUGAAGAGGAGUCCAAAGUGACACAGUCAGGCCAGAAAUGUUGCUUCUGAAGUCCUGAGUCCACCUCCUAGCACUGCCAAGCAGUCCACCUGGAGGUGAUGAGAACUUCCAGGCUUUGGUAAUGGACAACUCUGUAUCCCUGGAGCCUUCAUUCCUUUUGGCAUUACAGAACCACAAGAAGUCAUCUAGAAUCAUUGAGAUUCUCAACUCCAUUGGGCAAACUGGAACCAGCAAAAUCUCAGAUAUCUAGAAUUGCCACUGCUUCCUUGACUCUGUGAUCAGUCUACAGCCACAGAAUCCUGAUUCCCUUUGGACAUUCUAGAAUGGCACUUUAAAAAAAAACAACCCACCCAGUG
RNAcentral lists this long non-coding RNA (504 nucleotides) under Homo sapiens (human). RNAcentral's name for it is "non-protein coding lnc-LMTK3-4:3". Lineage: Eukaryota; Metazoa; Chordata; Mammalia; Primates; Hominidae. The record is from RNAcentral.